UAUUGUUAAUCUUGAAAAAUUACGCCUGAGAGAUUCCUGUGUAGAAGCUUGGAACCACCAGAGCGGACAUUGUGAAACAAAUUUAAAAAAUAUGCAUACAAAAUUCAAUAAUUGGUACAACAAAAUGUCGAUUCUUGGUAAGAUAGAAAAAAUAGA
Anneissia japonica is the source of this 156-nucleotide long non-coding RNA. RefSeq lists it as uncharacterized. The transcript has 3 exons. Lineage: Eukaryota; Metazoa; Echinodermata; Crinoidea; Comatulida; Comatulidae. The record is from RefSeq and is a predicted model, not a curated record.